UCGGCGGUGGGAGAAAGGGGUGGGCGCCCGGGCCCCGCCGGCACGGCGAGGGGGCGGGGCGGGGAGAGGAAAAGGACUUUGACCAGAUUCUUAAAGGCACAGGCGCCUGCCCGCCUCCGCCGCCGAAGUUGGGGGACAAAACCCGACGGUGUUCUAGAGCUUUCCGAAGGAGGCAACUGUAUAGAUUGCAAAUGCCUCUUCUGCACCGGGUGUGCGGAGCCACGCUUUUCGUUGUGAAAGUGUUAGGGAAACCCUUUCAUUUUGAUCUGGGCUUGUUUCAAAGUUGGGGAUUUUCUGCAGCCACGAAACCCCAUUGGUACUUGGAAUAUGUACUUUUCAGGGUACUUCAGCUCUCCCUCUCGUGCCAUUGCUCACUAAGUUUUUUAUGUUGCUGUGUAUACAAUUUCUUCAUCUGUAACGCGGCAGGUAAAAAGUCCUAAUGGGAUCAUUUGCGGUGUGAAAGGAGACAAACUUCUAUGACAAGGUCUCACCCUAUGAGAGAGAGAGAGAGACUCUCACAUAGAUGGGAUCUGGACCCUGCCGGGGAGAAAUAUGCAACAUGAACAAAGUGAAAUGGAAAUGGAAAUCUACAGCUCCAGAACCCUGAGUCUCCCUGGCUAUCUGAAAGUAGAACAUUCCUAUAAAAACUUUCAAAUCAUGAAAUUGGACAAAGUGGAUUCACUGUGGAAGUUUCUGAUAACGUGCCUCAGUUUCCUCACUGUAACUGGGAAAUGUCUGCAGAGAUGAAGACUGACACAAGAGCACAGUUUUAUUUGGCCACUUCUAUUUUAUUUUAUUAAAAGAAUUUUUUUGAGUAGGUUCCAUGCCCCAUGUGGGGCUUGAACUCAUGACCCUGAGAUCAAAGUUCGCAUGCUCUGACUGAGCCAGCCAGGUGCCCCUAUUUGGUCACUUCUUAUCUCCCCUUGCACAGAGCUGAAUACCAUCCACUCAUGAUUCUAGGCAGACAGCACAGGGUAAGGACAACCAAUUAUUUACUUACAAUUGUGUCAUUAGCACUUCCAAAACACUGGUGACCAUCCUCAAGUCUUUCAUAGCUCAGCCUAGACUUGUGGCUUUUUAAGAAUCAGUUUGCUUUCCUUCUUUUUCUACCCCAUUGUUUGUUGAUAGAUAAGCUUGAAAACACCCCCUUCCUCGGAGCUUGAUUGGCAAGUGUCAAAUCCGCAAGCUUUGGCAGCUAUGUGCUAUGUGGCUGUGUGGCAGCUACGUUAAGGAGGAGUGAAGGAGGACACGGGUUGGUCUGUGGCCAGAGGGAAAAGAGAAACCCAUAUAACCAGGAUGAACAGACGAGUAGAAGGUGUGCGUAGUAGUUCCCUGGGGCUGCCCUAACAAAUCACCGCAAACCUGGUAGCUUAAAACAACAGAAAUUUACUUUCUCACAGUUGUGGAGGUUAGAAGCCUGAAAUCAAGACGUUAGGGCCAUGCUUCCUCUGAAGGCUCUAGGGGCGGGUCCUUCCUUGCGUUGUUUUCUGGCUUCGGGUGGCUCUUGGCACUCUACUUCUACCUCUGUCGUCACAUGGCAUUCUCCCCUGUGUGUUUUCACACCACUUCUCUCUAUGUGCCUUCUGCAUAUCUUCUUAUACAGGCACCAGUGACUGCAUUGAAACUCCACCCUAACCCAGUAUGACCUCAUCUUAAUUUAACCAAUCACAUCUGCAAAGACCCUAUUUACGGAUAAAGUCGCUGAGCUUCCACGCAGACCCAAAGUUUGGGGGACAUUAUUCAACACAGUGUAGAGGGGGUGGUCUGAUGGCAUCUGGAAUGUGGAUCUGAAUGUGUUCUUUAGACCACAUCACACUCUGGGAUGCUUGGGGUGCUCAGUCAGUUAAGUGUCCGAUCUCAGCUCAGGU
Long non-coding RNA from Leopardus geoffroyi (Geoffroy's cat), 1868 nucleotides. RefSeq lists it as uncharacterized. The record is from RefSeq and is a predicted model, not a curated record. The transcript is spliced from 5 exons. Lineage: Eukaryota; Metazoa; Chordata; Mammalia; Carnivora; Felidae.